Molecule: non-coding RNA, 25 nt
Filed under: Mus musculus (house mouse)
Lineage: Eukaryota; Metazoa; Chordata; Mammalia; Rodentia; Muridae
Source: RNAcentral
UCCUUCACUGGGUGCUUUGCCUUAA